This 208-nucleotide ribosomal RNA is filed under the name Bacteroidales bacterium. RNAcentral's name for it is "partial 23S ribosomal RNA". It matches the Rfam family "Bacterial large subunit ribosomal RNA", at positions 2704 to 2925 of the family's 2925-position model. Lineage: Bacteria; Pseudomonadati; Bacteroidota; Bacteroidia; Bacteroidales. The record is from RNAcentral.
AACCUCUGGUGUACCUGUUGUGGCGCCAGCCGCACCGCAGGGUAGCCAAGUUUGGAUGAGAUAAGUGCUGAAAGCAUCUAAGUACGAAACUCACCUCAAGAUGAGGCUUCAUUUAAGGGUCGUUAAAGACGAUGACGUUGAUAGGUUGCAGAUGUAAAGUCAGUAAUGGCAAAGUCAAGCAAUACUAAUAACCCGAAUACUUGCUCAA